CAUAUCCAUUGUUUAGAAGGAAAGCAGAAUGCUGUACAAAUUACAAAUUAAUCAGCGGCAAGUGUAUACAUUGCCUUGGAUCCUUUGGAAAAAACUGCACACAGCCGUGUCCAUAUGAAUAUUAUGGUUAUGGAUGUUCGAAGAAAUGCAAAUGUACAUGGAACGAGUUCUGUGAUCCAAAACAAGGAUGUCAAACUGUAAAUAAUACACUGAUUCCAGCUGUAACCGGGGGUGUUGUUUUGACAGUUGUGCUGCUAAUUAUACUUUACAGAUGCUAUACAAAGCGAUGCCACAUAACAAGACAGAAGAAAG
Molecule: long non-coding RNA, 312 nt
Organism: Saccostrea cuccullata (small rock oyster)
Lineage: Eukaryota; Metazoa; Mollusca; Bivalvia; Ostreida; Ostreidae
Exons: 4
Source: RefSeq, a predicted model, not a curated record